This 253-nucleotide ribosomal RNA is filed under the name uncultured bacterium. RNAcentral describes it as "partial 16S ribosomal RNA". It matches the Rfam family "Bacterial small subunit ribosomal RNA", at positions 524 to 776 of the family's 1533-position model. The record is from RNAcentral.
UACAGAGGGGGCCAGCGUUAUUCGGAAUUAUUGGGCGUAAAGGGCGCGUAGGCGGCUUUGCGUGUCUUUCGUGAAAUCCCCCGGCUCAACUGGGGAACUGCACAGGAAACUAGCGGGCUUGAGUUCGGGAGAGGGAAGCGGAAUUCCGGGUGUAGCGGUGAAAUGCGUAGAUAUCGGGAGGAACACCAGUGGCGAAGGCGACUUCCUGGCCUGUUCUUGACGCUGAGGCGCGAAAGCUAGGGGAGCAAACGGG